This 96-nucleotide microRNA precursor is filed under the name Nicotiana sylvestris (wood tobacco). RNAcentral describes it as "MIR6152 microRNA precursor family". It matches the Rfam family "MIR6152 microRNA precursor family". The record is from Rfam by way of RNAcentral. Lineage: Eukaryota; Viridiplantae; Streptophyta; Magnoliopsida; Solanales; Solanaceae. RNAcentral also lists the same sequence under 1 other name.
UGUAUUCUUAUUGUAUUCAACUAUAUUCACGGCGUGAUAUAGGGGAUUACUCUGUUUUUAAAACGGAAAGUGAAUCAAUUAAUAUAAUAGACUCCU